Molecule: non-coding RNA, 3087 nt
Organism: Lonchura striata (white-rumped munia)
Lineage: Eukaryota; Metazoa; Chordata; Aves; Passeriformes; Estrildidae
Source: RefSeq, a predicted model, not a curated record
UUUUGGGGGGCCCAGGACAGCGCUGGGGGGUCUGUGGGGACCAGGAAGCGUAUAGGGGCGCCUGGGGGUUUAUUGGGCGUAACGGGGCGGGGACCCCCCAAGCCCGUGGGAACGGGGCUCCCCUGUCUUCGCCUUCCCGCGGCCGACGUGGCGCGUCAGCGGCUGCCCCUGAGCUCCCGCAAGGCCUCGUGCGGCCCCGCCUCCCGUUGGCCGCUGGGCCCGCGCCGCUUUGCUCGCCUCCUGGACUACAACUCCCGAAAGGCCGCGAGGCCCCGUAGGGCGCUGUUGAGCCGGGACUGCGGUUCCCGUCGUGCCCCGCGGCCCCUGAGAGUCCCGUCAGAGCCGGGCCUGGCCCCGCAGCGCCGACCCGGCUGCUCCCCAAGUGCUUCCCUCGGCCGUAAGUCCGUAAGUGCUCCUCCGGGGCCCCCUAAGUACCCCCGGUUUCCCUCUUCUGACCCUCAAGUUCCCCUCAGGGUCCCUAAGUCCGCUCGACCCCCGUCCCCUGCUUGCCCCCAAAAUGCCCCCUUCGUGUACCCUCGGACCCCCAAGUGCUUUCCAACUGCCUCCCCGACCCCUAAGUGCCCCUCCAGACCCUCUAAUGAUCCUGCAAGCACUCCCAACUGGAUUCCAAGCGCCCUUCGAGUGUCUCCCAGGAACUGGCGUGAUGACGACGAUGUAGAGAAAGACCCUGCCCCUAUCGCAGUAUCAGCAAUAGUUCAGCCUUUAAUUAAAUUCGAAUCAAAACUGCAAUUGCCGAUGCGGAGGAUGGACAAGCCCCCCCACCUUUUCGUGCCACUCCCGUGGUCCCUCUUGGAGCCAGGGAAAUUGCAGGAAAAGCAUUCCUGCAUGUUGUGCACAACAAAACUUUCUUGGGAAUUGGGAACAGAAUCUGGGUGGUGAGCUUCCCUGACAGGUGGACAUAAAUCCUGUCAGAUGAAGAAGAGGUUGAGAAGACUUUGGGGACCUGGAGUAUACUGUUCUGUAGCCCCCCGCACCCUCCCCAAAACCCCAGAGACCCCCUUCAUCCCCUACAGACUCCCCAGUAGAUCCCAAAUACCCUUAGAAUGCCCUCAAAAUGCUCCACAGCUUCCCCCCGCCAGACACCCUAUAAACCCUCAGGGACCCUCCCAAACCUCCCUCUAAAACCUCCUGAGGCUCUCUAAAACAACCCAUAGAUCUGCCCAAACCCCUGGCACUCCCCUGCACCCCCCAAAAGGGGCUACCCCAGGUGGCCACAAUUAGUCAUGGACUGCCUGAGCCACUUUUUCGGCUGAUAUGGAUCGCUGCAGGGGAGCCUCUGCUCCGCAGCACCUCCUCACCUGGUGUGCUGCUCAAGGAGGAAGGACAACAACAGCAAAAGGGACUUUUUUGCACCAAAAUAAAAUUAAACUGUGAAUGUUACUUUUCUCAAGGAUUUUAAGAUUUGUAAAUCCCAUGUUCUGAAAUGAUAUGAGGUGUAGCAGGCAAGACCUAGAGAGUUUAGAGAUAAAAGCAGCAUUUUUUCAUAUGUUUUUUAUGAAAAAUAAAGUAUUUUCACUCAGACAUGGCAGGUUCUACCUGCUGCUGCAGGGUUUGGGUAGGGAAUUUGGGGACAUCCAGCAGAUCCCAACACCUCAUUUUUCCUGAAGUGAGGAUUCUGAAAUGGCAAAGGAAAAGGGUCAGGAAAGUUUAGAAGCUGAGGAAAACUACCCAAAAUGUGGUUGCUGAGGCUCUUGCCUGUGUUUUGGGCAGUGAAAGGGUAGUUGGGGUUGGAAGGGCCUCUGGACAUCAACCAAGAAAAUGUCCUGGUCUGGUGCAAUCUCCUCACCUCAGAAUGUUUGGGGUUUGGGAGGUUGUUGUAAGUUGACUGAAUAGUAACACUUAGUGUAACCACUGAAGAUAGAGACAAGACUCCGAGAACAAAGGGCAUUAAAAGCAGGGAACUCCCAGGGGAAUGCUCUCUCCCCACAGGCUGGGUAGGGGAGGGGAAGUCAUUCAGCCUAGGCUGAGGUAGGCCAGGAGCCCCAGACAGAGAAGGCAGGUGAAAAGAAUAAAACCGGGCCAGCCCCUGCAAAACAGAUGGGUGGAGAAACACUGAGAUAUCCCGGGCAGCCCCCGCAGAGAGAGAGAAAAAAAAAGAGAGAAAGCCUCUAUCACCUUAAAAUUUAGUAUCAUGUGCCAGCAGUACAAUGGCAGAGGAAAAAGAGAAGGUGGAAGGCGGGGGCAAGGUGCCCAGCGGUGGGAGUCCUGGGCAGCCUACUGCAAGAUUUCAGCCAGCCUGGGGGGCAGCAGAGCCCGAGACUUUAACCCUUUCUUAGACAAAGGAAACUUUAUGAAACAUUAAUCCUCCUUAAUCUGAAGGAGAAGAGAGACAACCUAAAGUGUAAGAUGCCAGAAAAAGAUGAGAAAGAAAUCCUAAGUGAAAAGAGAUGAUAAAGUAGCCUUUAGCUGAACUCUUUCUUGUACAGCCAUAGACUAAACCAAUUUUCCUGUAACACAAAGAUUACAUUUAGACAGAUGCAAUAGUUUAAGCCAAGAGAGUGACCUGCUGAAGUAACACCGUAUGCAAGACUGAAGCAAACAGAGAAAGAUGAAGAAAAUAUAGUAGUGCCCCCGGUCUUCAGGGAAGAAGAUCGCUGUUCUCAAAACCCUUGGCUCCAGGGGAGCAGAAAAUAGGGAGGACUGUUGUCCUAAAUUAAGAAAAUGUUGGUUUUUAGGACUUAGCAAAGCAUCCUUUAAAAGGAUCCUAUAAACAGUGUUAUUCCAUAAACAGUAGUGAGAGCACUGUACAUAGAAAGAAGAUGUCACAACAGCAAUCUUCUUUGGGCGGUGCCAUGUGUGACAUAGAAACAUAAAAGGUUUCAAUCGUAUUUCCUGUAGAAAACUAUAGUACAAGAGAGACUCCUCUCGCCCUUAAUGAACUGAGAAUUAAUUAUCUGAAGUAGUAGUAAAUUAAUUGAGAAUCCAAAGUUUUGUCUCACUGUACUUUAGUAGAAAUUAGGUGGGAGGAGGAGGAAUGUUUUAGAAAGUUUUCAUUCUGAAUUUUGUGUGUUCCCUUUUGUUACAGUAUAAGUUAAUAAAGGUUUUUUCUUUAUUUCUAAACUUAAA